Long non-coding RNA from Planococcus citri (citrus mealybug), 749 nucleotides. RefSeq lists it as uncharacterized. The transcript has 4 exons. Lineage: Eukaryota; Metazoa; Arthropoda; Insecta; Hemiptera; Pseudococcidae. The record is from RefSeq and is a predicted model, not a curated record.
UUUAGCUGUUCUUGUGCUGAAAAAUCUUCUCAUCCUUUAUCUGCACAUCUGGAGUCGUCGAGUCGGAUAUUCAAUUUUGUCAAACCAAUAUUUAAGUUCAAACACGCUGAUUUUGAAGUUGACUUAUCAGCAGAGUUGAGAUCGUUUUGGAGUUCGCAGAAGAUCCCACGGUUCCCUGAAAUUCUCUUCAGUAUUAUGAGAAACGUCAACUCCACGAUUAUUGGUAAUGUUUAAGAACCUUUAAGUAGGUAGUUUUAAUUGUAGACAGUAACUAUAAGCAUAAGGUAUUAUACUGUUUUUUGUUAUUAUAGGAAACAACUCCGAUGAUAGUCUUUUAAACAAACAUCAAAUUCACGAAUGCAUACAUCAACGACGGCAGCAGGAGAAAACAUUUAAGAUGAAGAAACACAUCAACCUGAAGAAAAAUAUUGUACAGAAUGGUUGAAUGGUUAUUCAGUAGCAGUUCACUACCAACGCUUUUCGACGAGUCUGUUCAUUUAUUCGGAUAAACUUAACAGUGAAGUUUCGAUCCUUCAUUAUCAAAUACCAACUAUAGAAAAAUUAUCUUUGAGUUUAUUAUCCAUAGUUGUUUUCAAGAAAUACGCCAGUAUUCUGGCGAUUUAACCCUCCUUCAACUUUUACAACCUAUAGAAUAUACCUCGUAGGUUUCAAAUCCAUCGUUUAAGUACACUUAUAAUAAUAACACGAGGUGAAGAUGAAAGUAUAAACAUAACACAAAACUUACUUGC